UACGGGGGAUGCAAGCGUUAUCCGGAUUUAUAGGGCGUAAAGCGCCUGUAGGUUGUUUAAUAAGUCUGUUGUUAAAGACUAGGGCUUAACCCUAGGAAAGCAAUGGAAACUACUAGACUUGAGUAUGAUAGGGGUAGAGGGAAUUUCUAGUGUAGCGGUGAAAUGCGUAGAUAUUAGAAAGAACACCGGUGGCGAAGGCGCUCUACUGGAUCAUUACUGACACUCAGAGGCGAAAGCUAGGGGAGCAAAAGGGAUUAGAUACCCCUGUAGUCCUAGCCGUAAACGAUGGAUACUAGGUGUUGUAUUUUUUUUACAGUAUCGUAGCUAACGCGUUAAGUAUCCCGCCUGGGGAGUACGCUCGCAAGGGUG
RNAcentral lists this ribosomal RNA (369 nucleotides) under uncultured phototrophic eukaryote. Its description in RNAcentral is "SSU rRNA". It matches the Rfam family "Bacterial small subunit ribosomal RNA", at positions 524 to 896 of the family's 1533-position model. The record is from RNAcentral.